RNAcentral lists this ribosomal RNA (382 nucleotides) under uncultured bacterium. RNAcentral describes it as "bacterial SSU rRNA". It matches the Rfam family "Bacterial small subunit ribosomal RNA", at positions 29 to 410 of the family's 1533-position model. The record is from RNAcentral.
AUUGAACGCUGGCGGCAUGCCUUACACAUGCAAGUCGAACGGCAGCAUGGGUGCUUGCGCCUGAUGGCGAGUGGCGAACGGGUGAGUAAUGCAUCGGAACGUACCCGGAAGUGGGGGAUAACGUAGCGAAAGUUACGCUAAUACCGCAUAUUCUGUGAGCAGGAAAGCGGGGGAUCGCAAGACCUCGCGCUUCCGGAGCGGCCGAUGUCGGAUUAGCUAGUUGGCGGGGUAAAGGCCCACCAAGGCAACGAUCCGUAGCAGGUCUGAGAGGAUGAUCCGCCACACUGGGACUGAGACACGGCCCAGACUCCUACGGGAGGCAGCAGUGGGGAAUUUUGGACAAUGGGCGCAAGCCUGAUCCAGCCAUGCCGCGUGAGUGAAG